UUUCCGUAGGUGAACCUGCGGAAGGAUCAUUAUUGUAUAACCGAGGUGCGAGGGCUGUCGCUGACCCGAAAGGUCGUGCACGCCCGAGUGCCCUCACACACAUCCAUCUCACCCCUGUGGGCACCACCGCGUGGGUCCCCCUUUGGCUUGUUCGGAGGGGGGCUUACGUUUUCACACAAACUUUGUAUGCAGUGUAGAAUGUAUUUUUUGUUUUUGCGAUCACGCAAUCAAUACAACUUUCAACAACGGAUCUCUUGGCUCUC
This 263-nucleotide unclassified non-coding RNA is filed under the name plant metagenome. RNAcentral's name for it is "partial contains small subunit ribosomal RNA, internal transcribed spacer 1, and 5.8S ribosomal RNA". The record is from RNAcentral.